RNAcentral lists this ribosomal RNA (710 nucleotides) under uncultured bacterium. RNAcentral describes it as "bacterial SSU rRNA". It matches the Rfam family "Bacterial small subunit ribosomal RNA", at positions 65 to 742 of the family's 1533-position model. The record is from RNAcentral.
AACGAAACAUCUUUAUCACCGAGUGCUUGCACUCACCGGUAAAGGGUUGAGUGGCGAACGGGUGAGUAACACGUGGGCAACCUGCCCAAAAGAGGGGGAUAACACUUGGAAACAGGUGCUAAUACCGCAUAACCAUAGUUACCGCAUGGUAGCUAUGUAAAAGGUGGCUAUGCUACCGCUUUUGGAUGGGCCCGCGGCGCAUUAGCUAGUUGGUGGGGUAAAGGCUUACCAAGGCAAUGAUGCGUAGCCGAACUGAGAGGUUGAUCGGCCACAUUGGGACUGAGACACGGCCCAAACUCCUACGGGAGGCAGCAGUAGGGAAUCUUCCACAAUGGGCGAAAGCCUGAUGGAGCAACGCCGCGUGGGUGAAGAAGGUCUUCGGAUCGUAAAACCCUGUUGUUAGAGAAGAAAGUGCGUGAGAGUAACUGUUCACGUUUCGACGGUAUCUAACCAGAAAGCCACGGCUAACUACGUGCCAGCAGCCGCGGUAAUACGUAGGUGGCAAGCGUUAUCCGGAUUUAUUGGGCGUAAAGGGAACGCAGGCGGUCUUUUAAGUCUGAUGUGAAAGCCUUCGGCUUAACCGGAGUAGUGCAUUGGAAACUGGGAGACUUGAGUGCAGAAGAGGAGAGUGGAACUCCAUGUGUAGCGGUGAAAUGCGUAGAUAUAUGGAAGAACACCAGUGGCGAAAGCGGCUCUCUGGUCUGUAACUG